Molecule: long non-coding RNA, 578 nt
Organism: Salvia splendens (bonfire salvia)
Lineage: Eukaryota; Viridiplantae; Streptophyta; Magnoliopsida; Lamiales; Lamiaceae
Exons: 2
Source: RefSeq, a predicted model, not a curated record
UGUUGAUAGAACAAGUUUGCUUGGCUUGAAAAAUUAUCGCAUCAGGAAAUGCAACUCAUGCAUGUCAUGAGCUCGGUACAAAGGGCAAAAUUCCAAGAAAGGACGCCGUGCAAAAAUGUAUCCGCCAUUUGGACCAUGAAAAACAAAGUUUCCAGACAUGGUAUAGACGCGAGAAGCUCUCGCGUGUUUAACUAAACACGCUUGAAGCUCUUGCGUGUUUUAACUAAACACGCAUCAGGCUAUCGCGUGUUUAACUAAACACGCGACACGCUCUCGCGUGUUUCGGGUAGACACAAAUUCCAGCCCAAACGGCAGAGACCUCACUUUCCACUCGCGAAUUCACUUCCAGCUCGCUCAAUCUCUCACUCUCAGCGACGGCCAACGUUUCUAGCCGGCGAAAAUCGAAGUGAAUCCGUGAUUUUGUUGCUCUAAUUCCUAUUUUAAGUGGUGUUAGGUUUAAUGGUGUUUGUGAGUUUAUAUUGGGAUGGGAAAAUUAUUCAACUCCCAGGUUUGGGUGUUGCUUAUGAUCCCCCUCGUGCAAAUUCAUUUAUUAUAUUGAAUGAAAAGAUAUCAUAUUA